Molecule: long non-coding RNA, 1484 nt
Filed under: Dermacentor andersoni
Lineage: Eukaryota; Metazoa; Arthropoda; Arachnida; Ixodida; Ixodidae
Description: uncharacterized LOC126525656
Source: RNAcentral
GUCGUUUCAUUUCCCCAGCCUUGGCCAUCAGUCACGUGCGGCGGAGUUCCCUGCGCCCUGCCGUCUCCCGGAUGGGUGACGUUCAGUGCCUCUUCUACUGCGGCUGACCGUCCGUGCACGCCUGCUCGAGCCUUACAGCUACUGGUUUCCUGGCGAAUGCAGGUGCCUGUACUACCUGCCCUGCACCGGCAACCCUUGCCCUGACAUCCACCGCCCGUCAAGAUCUGCCCCGCCGGCGUAUAAAGGCCUAGUCCUGACCGUAAGGAGACGGGCCUUGCUCUCGUGACAGUUCAUGACAUUGCUACGCCCGAUGACGUUGAGCUGCGGGAAAAGUCUUUCUGCGUGCUGCCUAGACGAUGCUGCAAGGCUACGGAGACGUGACGGCGACCGACGACGACAGCCCCGUAACAGUUCCUUCCGUUCGGUAGCUGUGUCAUAGCAGUUCGAUGUACACUCGUAUUGAGUCCAUAGCUGUUUCACGAGUGCACCAAAACAAUUUCAAGUAACUAUGCUGGCUCAUAUUCAGUACACUACUCAGGGUCUAGCGUUAGGUUAAUCUGGGGUUCCAUGCACGUUAAUUCACAUUCUGUGCUCUCGUUGUGGUACGCUGAUGCUGGUUCGCAUUGCGAAGUUGCGCGCGCGUAUGUGUUUGUGUGAGCAUGCGUAUGUGUGCGUUGCUGCAUGUAUGCUGUCUAUUUGUUAUACGCGCGUGCGACUUCGCUCAUUCCAUCUGGUUGGUGGCAUGAUUUCCCCUGGGGUCCGUUUUCUCUUCCAUGGAAUUUUUGCUGGCUGGCCGCGUUUAUCAGGUGAUUUCCUUCGGAAAGCUCGUUGGCGGUUCUGCAGUGAUGGUCGCACAUCUUUUCAGCAAAACUUUAGGACUGGGCAUUCCCCUUACUUAAAGGGUGUCCGGCCGUCCACUCGCAUAUUUGUCUGCACCUUCCAUUAUCAAAUUGUUUUGUACUCGACGGAGUCUCUGUUGGUAUCUUUUGCUUGUCCACAUUCUCCUUGUUUGUCCAGUGAUCCAUCAUGGCUAAUGCGAAACAUCGGCGUACCAUUACAAAAGGCAUAUUGUGUGAAUUAAAGGCAAUAGAACAUCCUCGUUAACUUGUGAAGAUCAUGAUUAUGAGCUUAUCCAUUGCAAACUAGUGCUGGCAUGGCACCAAGCUUAUCCUUCGACCUGUAUAGCCGUUAUUCAUUGUAGCGGUACACCUGCGCACUUCUACACGGCGAAAUACAGCAGCUCCUGAACCUGCCUUCAGCAAGAUAGCACAUUGAUCUGACACCACCACCAACGCCACACAUGCCUGCCGUGUUAGGUCUUGAUCACACUUUUUCAUCACGAUUCCUUUUGUCCUCGAGUGUUCGCUGCCUUGUAUAGAUUUACCUCCUUGCAUCCACUUAAUGUACUUCUCUAUAACAUGUACUCGCUGUACCAUGCUCCCUCUACUUAAUAAAAUGGCAGAGGUAUUCUUUUUCCUACCACU